UACGUAGGGUGCAAGCGUUAAUCGGAAUUACUGGGCGUAAAGCGUGCGCAGGCGGUUAUGUAAGACAGAUGUGAAAUGCCCGGGCUUAACCUGGGAACUGCAUCCGAUACUGGAUGGCUUGAAUCCGGGAGAGGGAUGCGGAAUUCCAGGUGUAGCGGUGAAAUGCGUAGAUAUCUGGAGGAACACCGGUGGCGAAGGCGGCAUCCUGGACCGGCAUUGACGCUGAGGAGCGAAAGCCAGGGGAGCAAACGGG
RNAcentral lists this ribosomal RNA (253 nucleotides) under uncultured bacterium. RNAcentral describes it as "partial 16S ribosomal RNA". It matches the Rfam family "Bacterial small subunit ribosomal RNA", at positions 524 to 776 of the family's 1533-position model. The record is from RNAcentral.